CAGUCGCCACGGGAAUACGGAGGAUCCAAGCGUUAUCCGGAUUUAUUGGGUUUAAAGGGUGCGUAGGCGGCUUUUUAAGUCAGGGGUGAAAGACGGUAGCUUAACUAUCGCAGUGCCCUUGACACUGAAGAGCUUGAAUAUAAUUGAGGUAGGCGGAAUGUGACAAGUAGCGGUGAAAUGCAUAGAUAUGUCACAGAACACCAAUUGCGAAGGCAGCUUACUAAGCUAUGAUUGACGCUGAGGCACGAAAGCGUGGGGAUCAAACAGGAUUAGAUACCCCAGUAGUCCCUGUCUCUUAUAC
RNAcentral lists this ribosomal RNA (301 nucleotides) under uncultured bacterium. RNAcentral's name for it is "partial 16S ribosomal RNA". It matches the Rfam family "Bacterial small subunit ribosomal RNA", at positions 509 to 807 of the family's 1533-position model. The record is from RNAcentral.